Molecule: ribosomal RNA, 440 nt
Filed under: uncultured bacterium
Lineage: Bacteria
Description: partial 16S ribosomal RNA
Rfam family: Bacterial small subunit ribosomal RNA
Source: RNAcentral
CCUACAGGUGGCAGCAGUGGGGAAUAUUGCACAAUGGGGGAAACCCUGAUGCAGCGAAGCCGCGUGAGUGAAGAAGUCAUUCGUUAUGUAAAGCUCUAUCAGCAGGGAAGAAAAUGACGGUACCUGAGGAAGCAGCCCCGGCUAACUACGUGCCAGCAGCCGCGGUAAGACGUAGGGGGCCAGCGUUAUCCGGAUUUACUGGGUGUAAAGGGAGCGUAGACGGCAGUGCAAGUCUGGAGUGAAAGGCGGGGGGUCAACCCCCGGACUGCCCUGGAAACUGUAGGGCUGGAGUGCAGGAGAGGUAAGUGGAAUUCCUAGUGUAGCGGUGAAAUGCGUAGAUAUUAGGAGGAACACCAGUUGCGAAGGCGGCUUACUGGACUGUAACUGACGUUGAGGCUCGAAAGCGUGGGGAGCAAACAGGAUUAGAUACCCCAGUAGUC